AUACGGAGGGUGCGAGCGUUAAUCGGAAUUACUGGGCGUAAAGCGUACGUAGGCGGUUGGUUAAGUUAGAUGUGAAAGCCCCGGGCUUAACCUGGGAACUGCAUUUAAAACUGGCGAACUAGAGUUGAGUAGAGGGGAGUGGAAUUUCAGGUGUAGCGGUGAAAUGCGUAGAGAUCUGAAGGAACACCAGUGGCGAAGGCGACUCCCUGGACUCGAACUGACGCUGAGGUACGAAAGCGUGGGUAGCAAACGGGAUUAGAAACCCUUUGUAGUCC
RNAcentral lists this ribosomal RNA (275 nucleotides) under uncultured bacterium. Its description in RNAcentral is "partial 16S ribosomal RNA". It matches the Rfam family "Bacterial small subunit ribosomal RNA", at positions 523 to 796 of the family's 1533-position model. The record is from RNAcentral.